RNAcentral lists this long non-coding RNA (2401 nucleotides) under Xyrichtys novacula (pearly razorfish). The record is from RNAcentral. Lineage: Eukaryota; Metazoa; Chordata; Actinopteri; Labriformes; Labridae.
CUCUGUUCUCAACCAAACUGCCAUCCUGCCAUGCAUUUGUUGAGUCCACAUCAAUGUAAGAUAACCUGACUGCUAAUAUAUGAUGUGAUGAUGUAUUUGAACCUGUAGAGAUUAGACCUUCAUCUGAUUCAAUAUACUUUGAUAGAUAAUGCCAUUAAUUAUUUUGAUCACUGAUUAUUGAUGAUUGACCAAUCAUCUUUGAUUUCCAUAUUUCUAUUGAUGGUGAUUGUAUUGAUACUUUAUUUUACAUUGUUACUGAAACCUAUUUUCUGUUCCUGUCUCGAACCAUGUGCAUGGCAACUUUUACUUUGGGGAAAAAAAAUUAAAAACCCUCAACGCAGAAACUGUUUCCUGGUGGUGUGUGGCUCCGGUUUGAAAUUUAUAACCAACAGCACUAGAUAUGAACAAAAAGAUUGUCAAUGCAAUGGACUAUGUGGAUGAUAUAUCCUUUCCUCUCAGUUCAUUCAUUGCUGAGUGUCUCUUCCUUUAUAUUGUCCUGCAGGUAUAUUCAUGAUACCAAAACACAGAGCAACCUGCUUACAUCAUGAAGGUAAUGUGGAUCAGAAAUUUGUUUGCUUCCCCCUUCAGCUCUUUUAUAUCUUCAGCAACAACAAAGGUACAGUGUACUUGUCAAUAUUGGAAGAGGAGCAGAAGGGGCAAACAUAGGCUCCUUCUACUGAAUUCACAUGAACAAGUUGAUAUGGUCCAAGGCACAAAAUUUUCUUGUCAGUCUCACUCAAUAUGGUAAUACUUUGUAAUAAUCCUGUAAAAAGGCGCAUGUCUGUAGUGGCUAUUUGUCAACAACAAUAAAAUCAAGAGGCCACUGAGGGCACCGGGCAGUGAAUCUUACUCAGAAAGUGCAUGCAGGUAUUGAGUCAAUUGUCCAGCCAGAGAGUGCAUUUUAGGCAGGUUUAUUUCAGCUCUGGAACGUUACAGAAGAUGGUAAAUUGCUUGAUCUCAGGGCUACUGCUCUUUCAGGUACAAAACUGUGUGCCCUCCCGGUGCGUACUGCCUGCCUGAGUGGCUGCAUCAACUAAGUAAAUUCACCUGUGUGCCCAAAUUGCCCAAGUCCUUCAAAAUAAAAGUGCAUAGCUGUGACCCAAAAUAACUGAAAUUAUAUGACUGAAACUGAAUCAAUUAAGCAAAGCAAAAUGACAAAUAAGCAUUAAAUAAAUAAUACUAAAUGGCAAAAUUACUUAAUAGCUUCCACAAUGUCUAUGGAUUAAAUUUGAGUAUGACGCCUAUAGUUGGACACCUUGAUACAGAACCUUUGUAAUCUUCACAAUGAUUUUCAGAUCACAUAAAUUACUGAAUAAUUUCUUGCAUUUUCUUCUUGUUGAUUUUGUUUUUCUUACCGAUAAUGCAGAAUCUUCCGAGUAUUCCUGUGAGUGCUUUAGGAUUUGUAAUUGUUGUAAAAAAAAAAAUUUCCCCCACCUUUCCUCGGCCCCAUGCAGCGCCUUUCUUCCCUUUCUAAAUCAGGACUCAUCAGGAAAGGUUCCAUCAGAGGUGAUCACUUUGCCGGAUUGCCUUCUUGCCAUGGAUAAAGGCAAAUUUGCAGCUUCACGUUUAAUCACAUUAAUCAUACCAACAAACUUCUGGAAGUGAUGACAUAUCAGGACUUGGACUAAGACAUCGAAUUUAAGCAGUUGAUCUUCAUCCCUCAUGGUAACCAACCAGGAAUUUAUGAUUGCAAACUAUCUUUUGAGUUUCUGUGGCUCCAACCAUGUCAGUUAUUUUUUCUCUGCACUGAUUUUGAAAAACCGGUGAAGUGAAAAUCUUUGAAAUGUCAAAUACCCUAGCACUGUAAUAGAUUUUUUUCCCCUUUUUUUUUUCAGUGUGGACACGUCUGCAAAGGCUUUUAAGCUGCCUGCACCUAAUGAUGGAGUCCAUAUGUAAUUUAUGUAAGUGUCUAAUUGAGUAGCUCUAUGAAAACUCAGAACAGCAAAGGAUUAAAAGCCACUGCCCUGCCGCUGAACUUGCAUUAAGAUAAAAACGUCUCUGUUGUAGUUAACCCUUUUUUCCCUGUUCAGUUCUUUACUGCUGAAAUUCACUGAGGCCCUGUGAACCAGCUAUUAAAUCAAAAAGGAAAAUUACGAAUGACACAGUGUACGUGACAUGUCAAGAGUACAGCAUGUUUUUCUGUCAUCAUGAGUGAGUAGCACUACAGCUCAUAAUGUGAGAUUUUAUUGGUUUGACCCUGACUAUCUCGGACCGGAGCAGAUAGACAGAGAGAAUUGUAAUAUUACAGAUUUCCAUCUUGUGACUGAUAAAAUUUCUAUAUCAUGACUUGUAUUUUCUAUUUCUGUGUUUUUGUUCAUUAGCUUGAACAAUAAUCGUAUUGACUUCAGAUAUAUUGCGGUUUAAUUUAUAAGCAAAAUAAAACUAUCUUUUCCUCUGUCCA